UUCUUCAGGGUUGGGUGCAAUUCCCUACCGGCGGUGAAGCUGUUUUUCCGGAAAGGAAGACAGACGAGUCCGCGACCCGCCAUCGGCGGCUGAUCCGGUUGGAAUCCGGAACCGACAGUACAGUCUGGAUGGAAGAAGAA
RNAcentral lists this non-coding RNA (140 nucleotides) under uncultured Eisenbergiella sp. RNAcentral's name for it is "FMN riboswitch (RFN element)". It matches the Rfam family "FMN riboswitch aptamer (RFN element)". From Rfam's summary of the family: The RFN element is a highly conserved domain that is found frequently in the 5'-untranslated regions of prokaryotic mRNAs that encode for flavin mononucleotide (FMN) biosynthesis and transport proteins. This element is a metabolite-dependent riboswitch that directly binds FMN in the absence of proteins. In Bacillus subtilis, the riboswitch most likely controls gene expression by causing premature transcription termination within the 5' untranslated region of the ribDEAHT operon and precluding access to the ribosome-binding site of ypaA mRNA. Lineage: Bacteria; Bacillati; Bacillota; Clostridia; Lachnospirales; Lachnospiraceae. The record is from RNAcentral.